UUGGAGGGCAAGUCUGGUGCCAGCAGCCGCGGUAAUUCCAGCUCCAAUAGCGUAUAUUAAAGUUGUCGCAGUUAAAAAGCUCGUAGUUGAAUUUCGGGGUUAGUAGGUUGGUCAUGCCACUGGUAUGUACUGGUCUCACUGAUUCCUCCUUCCUGAUGAGACGUAAUGCCAUUAAUUUGGUGUUGCGAGGAAUCUGGACUGUUACUUUGAAAAAAUUAGAGUGUUUAAAGCAGGCUAACGCUUGAAUACAUUAGCAUGGAAUAAUGAAAUAGGACGUUCGAUCUUAUUUUGUUGGUUUCUAGGAUUGACGUAAUGAUUAAUAGGGAUAGUUGGGGGCAUUAGUAUUCAAUUGUCAGAGGUGAAAUUCUUGGAUUUAUUGAAGACUAACUACUGCGAAAGCAUUUGCCAAGGAUGUUUUCAUUAAUCAAGAACGAAAGUUAGGGGAUCGAAGACGAUCAGAUACCGUCGUAGUCUUAACCAUAAACUAUGCCGACUAGGGAUCGGAUGAUGUUAAUUUUUUAAUGACUCAUUCGGCGCCUUACGGGAAACCAAAGUGUUUGGGUUC
This 565-nucleotide ribosomal RNA is filed under the name uncultured Glomeromycotina. Its description in RNAcentral is "SSU rRNA". It matches the Rfam family "Eukaryotic small subunit ribosomal RNA", at positions 548 to 1114 of the family's 1831-position model. Lineage: Eukaryota; Fungi; Glomeromycota. The record is from RNAcentral.